RNAcentral lists this ribosomal RNA (783 nucleotides) under uncultured soil bacterium. RNAcentral's name for it is "bacterial SSU rRNA". It matches the Rfam family "Bacterial small subunit ribosomal RNA", at positions 95 to 879 of the family's 1533-position model. The record is from RNAcentral.
GUAGCGCACGGGUGCGUAACACGUAUGCAACCUACCUUUAACCGGGACAUAACCUCGAGAAAUUGAAGCUAAUAUCCCAUGUGAUUGAUUUAUGGCAUCAUAGAUUAAUUAAAAUUCAGAUGGUUAAAGAUGGGCAUGCGUCCCAUUAGCUAGUUGGUGAGGUAACGGCUCACCAAGGCCACGAUGGGUAGGGGUUCUGAGAGGAUGAUCCCCCACACUGGUACUGAGACACGGACCAGACUCCUACGGGAGGCAGCAGUAAGGAAUAUUGGUCAAUGGACGCAAGUCUGAACCAGCCAUGCCGCGUGCAGGAAGACGGCCCUAUGGGUUGUAAACUGCUUUUGUACGGGAAGAACUACAUUUACGUGUAAAUGUUUGACGGUACCGUAAGAAUAAGGAUCGGCUAACUCCGUGCCAGCAGCCGCGGUAAUACGGAGGAUCCGAGCGUUAUCCGGAUUUAUUGGGUUUAAAGGGUGCGCAGGCGGGUAUAUAAGUCAGAGGUGAAAUUCCACGGCUCAACUGUGGGACUGCCUUUGAUACUGCAUAUCUAGAGUAUAUUUGGAGUGGGCGGAAUGUAGCAUGUAGCGGUGAAAUGCUUAGAUAUGCUACAGAACACCGAUCGUGAAGACAGCUCACUAAACUAUAACUGACGCUCAGGCACGAAAGCGUGGGGAGCAAACAGGAUUAGAUACCCUGGUAGUCCACGCCGUAAACGAUGAUUACUCGCUGUUGGCGAUACACAGUCAGCGGCUAAGCGAAAGUGAUAAGUAAUCCACCUGGGGA